UACGUAGGGACCAAGCGUUGUUCGGAUUUACUGGGCGUAAAGGGCGCGUAGGCGGCAUGACAAGUCACUUGUGAAAUCUCCGGGCUUAACCCGGAAACUGCAUUGAAUACUAUUCGGCUUGAGGUCUGGAGGGGGGACUGGAAUUCUCGGUGUAGCAGUGAAAUGCGUAGAUAUCGAGAGGAACACCUGCGGCGAAGGCGGGUUGCUGGGCUGACACUGACGCUGAAGUGCGAAAGCUAGGGGAGCGAACGGG
This 253-nucleotide ribosomal RNA is filed under the name uncultured bacterium. RNAcentral describes it as "partial 16S ribosomal RNA". It matches the Rfam family "Bacterial small subunit ribosomal RNA", at positions 524 to 776 of the family's 1533-position model. The record is from RNAcentral.